RNAcentral lists this unclassified non-coding RNA (226 nucleotides) under uncultured fungus. RNAcentral describes it as "sequence contains ITS1, 5.8S rRNA gene". The stretch from base 178 to 226 matches the Rfam family "5.8S ribosomal RNA", at positions 1 to 49 of the family's 154-position model. Lineage: Eukaryota; Fungi. The record is from RNAcentral.
UCUCCGUUGGUGAACCAGCGGAGGGAUCAUUACAGAGUUUUAUACUCCAAACCACUGUCUACCUACCUUAACGUUGCUUCGGCAGGAGGCCCCAGGGCGGGGCCGUUGGGUGCCUGCCGGAGGUCUACAAACUCUUGUUUUUACCUGUACACGUCUGAGCUAAAACAAAUAAGUUAAAACUUUCAACAACGGAUCUCUUGGUUCUGGCAUCGAUGAAGAACGCAGC